Molecule: transfer RNA, 72 nt
Filed under: Wolbachia endosymbiont of Litomosoides brasiliensis
Lineage: Bacteria; Pseudomonadati; Pseudomonadota; Alphaproteobacteria; Rickettsiales; Anaplasmataceae
Description: tRNA-Cys
Rfam family: tRNA
About the family: Transfer RNA (tRNA) molecules are approximately 80 nucleotides in length. Their secondary structure includes four short double-helical elements and three loops (D, anti-codon, and T loops). Further hydrogen bonds mediate the characteristic L-shaped molecular structure. tRNAs have two regions of fundamental functional importance: the anti-codon, which is responsible for specific mRNA codon recognition, and the 3' end, to which the tRNAs corresponding amino acid is attached (by aminoacyl-tRNA synthetases). tRNAs cope with the degeneracy of the genetic code in two manners: having more than one tRNA (with a specific anti-codon) for a particular amino acid; and 'wobble' base-pairing, i.e. permitting non-standard base-pairing at the 3rd anti-codon position.
Source: RNAcentral
GGCUGGGUGGCAGAAUGGUUUAUGCGAAGGACUGCAAAUCCUUUUAUACCGGUUCAAUUCCGGUCCCGGCCU